CACGUAGGGGGCGAGCGUUGUCCGGAUUUAUUGGGCGUAAAGAGCUCGUAGGCGGCUCAGUAAGUCAGGUGUGAAAACUCCAGGCUCAACCUGGAGACGCCACCUGAUACUGCUGUGGCUAGAGUCCGGUAGGGGAGCAUGGAAUUCCUGGUGUAGCGGUGAAAUGCGCAGAUAUCAGGAGGAACACCAGUGGCGAAGGCGGUGCUCUGGGCCGGAACUGACGCUGAGGAGCGAAAGCAUGGGGAGCGAACAGG
Molecule: ribosomal RNA, 254 nt
Filed under: uncultured bacterium
Lineage: Bacteria
Description: partial 16S ribosomal RNA
Rfam family: Bacterial small subunit ribosomal RNA
Source: RNAcentral